GAUGAACGCUGGCGGCGUGCCUAAUACAUGCAAGUCGAGCGAACAGACGAGGAGCUUGCUCCUCUGACGUUAGCGGCGGACGGGUGAGUAACACGUGGAUAACCUACCUAUAAGACUGGGAUAACUUCGGGAAACCGGAGCUAAUACCGGAUAAUAUAUUGAACCGCAUGGUUCAAUAGUGAAAGACGGUUUUGCUGUCACUUAUAGGUGGAUCCGCGCCGCAGUAGCUAGUUGGUAAGGUAACGGCUUACCAAGGAGACGAUGCGUGACCGACCUGAGAGGGGGCUCGGCCACACUGGAACUGAGACACGGCCCAGACCCCUACGGGAGGCAGCAGUAGGGAAUCUUCCGCAAUGGGCGAAAGCCUGACGAAGCAACGCCGCGUGAGUGAUGAAGCUCUUCGGAUCGUAAACCUCUGUUAUCAGGGAAGAACAAAUGUGUAAGUAACUAUGCACGUCUUGACGGUACCUAAUCAGAAAGCCACGGCUAACUACGU
RNAcentral lists this ribosomal RNA (496 nucleotides) under uncultured bacterium. RNAcentral's name for it is "partial 16S ribosomal RNA". It matches the Rfam family "Bacterial small subunit ribosomal RNA", at positions 28 to 506 of the family's 1533-position model. The record is from RNAcentral.